UACGUAGGGGGCUAGCGUUGUCCGGAUUUAUUGGGCGUAAAGCGCGUGUAGGCGGCAUGGCAAGUCGGGUGUGAAAUCCCUCAGCUCAACUGAGGAAGUGCGCCCGAAACUGCUUUGCUUGAGUGCUGGAGAGGGUCGCGGAAUUCCCCAAGUAGAGGUGAAAUUCGUAGAUAUGGGGAGGAACACCGGUGGCGAAGGCGGCGACCUGGACAGUAACUGACGCUGAGACGCGAAAGCGUGGGUAGCAAACAGG
Molecule: ribosomal RNA, 253 nt
Filed under: uncultured bacterium
Lineage: Bacteria
Description: partial 16S ribosomal RNA
Rfam family: Bacterial small subunit ribosomal RNA
Source: RNAcentral